CAUUCCAAUCCCCAGCAAUGUUAACCUGCAGAAGGAAAGGCCAGUUUGUAUGUCCUUCACACUCGAAGGUCACAGAGAUUAUUAUGAAAAAGACCCAUCCCCAGCAAAGUCAACCUGCAAAAGGAAGGGAGCGUCCGCAUGUCCUUCUCACUAGAAGAUCACGGAGACCAUUACGAAAACGCGUCAUGUGGUUUAGAGUUUGGACCCACCCCCAGCAACCUGCAGAAG
Daphnia pulicaria is the source of this 228-nucleotide long non-coding RNA. RefSeq lists it as uncharacterized. The transcript has 3 exons. The record is from RefSeq and is a predicted model, not a curated record. Lineage: Eukaryota; Metazoa; Arthropoda; Branchiopoda; Diplostraca; Daphniidae.